UAGAGUUUGAUCCUGGCUCAGAUUGAACGCUGGCGGCAUGCUUUACACAUGCAAGUCGAACGGCAGCGCGGGGCAACCUGGCGGCGAGUGGCGAACGGGUGAGUAAUACAUCGGAACGUACCCAGAAGUGGGGGAUAACGUAGCGAAAGUUACGCUAAUACCGCAUACGUUCUACGGAAGAAAGUGGGGGAUCGCAAGACCUCAUGCUUUUGGAGCGGCCGAUGUCUGAUUAGCUAGUUGGUGAGGUAAAGGCUCACCAAGGCGACGAUCAGUAGCUGGUCUGAGAGGACGACCAGCCACACUGGGACUGAGACACGGCCCAGACUCCUACGGGAGGCAGCAGUGGGGAAUUUUGGACAAUGGGCGCAAGCCUGAUCCAGCAAUGCCGCGUGAGUGAAGAAGGCCUUCGGGUUGUAAAGCUCUUUUG
Molecule: ribosomal RNA, 427 nt
Filed under: bacterium enrichment culture clone SC-1_52
Lineage: Bacteria
Description: bacterial SSU rRNA
Rfam family: Bacterial small subunit ribosomal RNA
Source: RNAcentral